AUGUAUCUUAUAACAAUUAUGUUACUUUACUCUUAUUACUUGAAUAAUCUGUGCACAGCAUGUAAUACAAAUGACCAGCUGAUCAGUGGUAAUUCUAUAUCAGGAUCGACCCAUGCUAGGCUUUCCUUUCACCCCUGGGAUACCCCCUGUAAUACUGGGAUUGACCCAUGCUAGGUGAUUCUUUCACCCCUGGGAUACCACCCAUCAGAAGCAACUGUAGACAUAAAUCUUCUUAUUACUUUUGAGAUGAAUCUUUGGUGGUCGUAACAUUUGAGCUAUAAGACUAUAAGCAUGACAAAUGACAAGUAUGUGUCCAUGUAACAUCAUAUCAUAAUGAAAAGAGUGGGUUGUACAAUUAGUGAAACAUGUAGGACAUAAACAACGUAUGAACUUUAUUUAGCUAAAAAGAAGACUCAUAUGUCAUGGUACCCAAUGUAUGUAUGCAGCAGUGACAAUGCUCGAAUCUGGACACACAAGUACAUGUUAAAGAGUGGAGUGGUUAUG
This 504-nucleotide long non-coding RNA is filed under the name Capsicum annuum. Its description in RNAcentral is "long non-coding RNA (CANN_LNC018806)". The record is from RNAcentral. Lineage: Eukaryota; Viridiplantae; Streptophyta; Magnoliopsida; Solanales; Solanaceae.